Molecule: ribosomal RNA, 497 nt
Filed under: uncultured bacterium
Lineage: Bacteria
Description: partial 16S ribosomal RNA
Rfam family: Bacterial small subunit ribosomal RNA
Source: RNAcentral
GACGAACGCUGGCGGCGUGCCUAAUACAUGCAAGUAGAACGCUGAAGAGAGGAGCUUGCUCUUCUUGGAUGAGUUGCGAACGGGUGAGUAACGCGUAGGUAACCUGCCUUGUAGCGGGGGAUAACUAUUGGAAACGAUAGCUAAUACCGCAUAACAAUGGAUGACACAUGUCAUUUAUUUGAAAGGGGCAAUUGCUCCACUACAAGAUGGACCUGCGUUGUAUUAGCUAGUAGGUGAGGUAAUGGCUCACCUAGGCGACGAUACAUAGCCGACCUGAGAGGGUGAUCGGCCACACUGGGACUGAGACACGGCCCAGACUCCUACGGGAGGCAGCAGUAGGGAAUCUUCGGCAAUGGGGGCAACCCUGACCGAGCAACGCCGCGUGAGUGAAGAAGGUUUUCGGAUCGUAAAGCUCUGUUGUAAGUCAGGAACGGGUGUGAGAGUGGAAAGUUCACACUGUGACGGUAGCUUACCAGAAAGGGACGGCUAACUACGUG